RNAcentral lists this ribosomal RNA (113 nucleotides) under Coriobacteriales bacterium. Lineage: Bacteria; Bacillati; Actinomycetota; Coriobacteriia; Coriobacteriales. The record is from RNAcentral.
GUGCGCAACCUUGGAGCGGAGGGUACACCCGAUCCCAUUUUGAACUCGGUAGUUAAGCUCCGCAUCACUGAACGUUAAGUGGCGUCAGGUCAUGGGAGAAUAGAAUGCCCAUC